AUGCACAGCUUCAGGACGUGUUUCAGUGCACACCAGCAGGACACAGCGUCAGGACCACAGCUCCCUUCUCUGUCUCUGCGCUCUGUGGAUCCAUGGAAGUACGGCAAUUACAUUCCUGGCUCUGGCAUGAAAGAUCUCUUGGAUCUAGUACUGGAUAAGCUUGAAGUUCCUACCAAGAGCGUGGAGCUGCAGCACAAGACGUUUCCUUCGCAGCCAGUGCAUGGGGCAUGGUUUUAUCACGGCAGGAGAUGGAGGCAGGGAGAAGCUGCUCCCUGCCUGCUGGAGGAGAGGCAGCACGGCGGGGCCAUACACACUUGGCAGGAGCCGGUGCUCACUGCUGGAUUCGCCCUGACGGAGCUUCUCAAGUUGCCUUGUCCGGUCUCACUAUGCCCAUGACCAUCCCAUUGCCUACCUUGUUUUGUCCUAUCCAAGCAGGCAACACCAACUAAGGUUCACAGCCCAGCCUCAGCACUCAACAGGGAAAAAGGCAAAGCCCAACAAGUUUCUGCCCGUGUAUCGAUACCGCAGCAUGCCCCUCUGUACAGACACAGCAGUGUUGUGUCAUCGGGGAAACCAAGCCAAACUGAAGAACAAAUCCUCUCUUUGAAAACAUCGCAUUAAAGACUAGCCUUAACAUAAGAUCAUACAGUGCUGAAGUUCUGGGUCACAACGUUUUCACCGUGAGAUAAGCACCUCCAGAGAACACGGAGUUUUACUGAGACUCACAAAUCUCCAGUCUGGAUCACAAGAACAGGCCAGGAAAGAGGAAUUAUUUCCUUCAAUAUUACACUUAGGCUGCCCCACACUGGGGACGCUGAGCCUAUUACUUAGGCUCCCAAUCUGCCUUACCAGACAUGGUGAAAUCCACCUCAGUGUCUGUCACACCACAACGUGCUCCCUACAUCGCUCCUCCUCCAGAGCAAGAGGUGACAGCUAGCAGAAAGAUUCAGAUGCUUCCAACAUCAUUUAGUCACAUCCUAGAGAUGCAAAGGAGCUGGGUGAGAAUCCACCCGGGCCUCUUUGACAGUGACAGAGGUGAGAAAGUCUUCAAAAGUACUGCCCUGCUGUCAGAAGCCAAACAGGCCAUGCUGAGAAAAGGAGGAGCCGUGGGACCAUCAGCUAUCCCAGCCAACAUCAGCCUUAUCCCAAGGAAUGAAAUGGAGCCCCUUAUCCAGACAGGUUGCCCUCUUCGCAUUUUUCUACCUAUAUAGGUGUAUUCCCUACGUGUGAUCUAACAACGUGAUUUAAUUAGCUGCUUAAUUAGCAGCUGUGUGAAGCACACUAAGGGAAGUGAUUGUCAGGUCUUCUGCUGCGACUCUGUGGCUGUUGAAUGCACAACAGCCAGGGAAUGGAGAGAAAUCCAGGUUCUCCUACAAAAGCUUGAGCACGUCAGUAAGUUUUUCCCAGCAUUGUUUGCAACCGACACACCACGUGGAGGCGGUGCUGUUUGUUAGCUGCAUCACAUCCAUAAACCUGAAGGAGGCUGCAAGGGCUAAGCCAUCUCAGUUAACGUAAGGCAGAUGCUGGGAGAGCA
RNAcentral lists this long non-coding RNA (1534 nucleotides) under Cairina moschata (Muscovy duck). RNAcentral describes it as "domestica (muscovy Duck (domestic type)) lncRNA (ENSCMMG00000014848.1)". The record is from RNAcentral. Lineage: Eukaryota; Metazoa; Chordata; Aves; Anseriformes; Anatidae.